This 486-nucleotide ribosomal RNA is filed under the name uncultured bacterium. RNAcentral describes it as "partial 16S ribosomal RNA". It matches the Rfam family "Bacterial small subunit ribosomal RNA", at positions 30 to 507 of the family's 1533-position model. The record is from RNAcentral.
AUUGAACGCUGGCGGCAUGCCUUACACAUGCAAGUCGAACGGCAGCACGGGUGCUUGCCCCUGGUGGCGAGUGGCGAACGGGUGAGUAAUACAUCGGAACAUGUCCUGUAGUGGGGGAUAGCCCGGCGAAAGCCGGAUUAAUACCGCAUACGAUCUACGGAUGAAAGCGGGGGACCUUCGGGCCUCGCGCUAUAGGGUUGGCCGAUGGCUGAUUAGCUAGUUGGUGGGGUAAAGGCCUACCAAGGCGACGAUCAGUAGCUGGUCUGAGAGGACGACCAGCCACACUGGGACUGAGACACGGCCCAGACUCCUACGGGAGGCAGUAGUGGGGAAUUUUGGACAAUGGGCGAAAGCCUGAUCCAGCAAUGCCGCGUGUGUGAAGAAGGCCUUCGGGUUGUAAAGCACUUUUGUCCGGAAAGAAAUCCUUGGCCCUAAUACGGUCGGGGGAUGACGGUACCGGAAGAAUAAGCACCGGCUAACUACGUG